CCCUUAGAUGUUCUGGGCCGCACGCGCGCUACACUGAUGCAUGCAACGAGUUCUAUCCUUGGCCGGAAGGCCUGGGUAAUCUGUGAACGUGCAUCGUGAUAGGGAUAGAUUAUUGCAAUUAUUAAUCUUGAACGAGGAAUUCCUAGUAAACGCAAGUCAUCAGCUUGCAUUGAUUACGUCCCUGCCCUUUGUACACACCGCCCGUCGCACCUACCGAUCGAAGGUAGUGAUGAGCCCUCAGGAUUGUGGCCUCGUCGCGUCAGCGUCUUGGCUGCGAGAAUCUGUGCAAAUCCCUACCUUUAGAGGAAGGUGAAGUCGUAACA
Molecule: ribosomal RNA, 323 nt
Filed under: uncultured eukaryote
Lineage: Eukaryota
Description: partial 18S ribosomal RNA
Rfam family: Eukaryotic small subunit ribosomal RNA
Source: RNAcentral